AAAACGUCUUGGAUUGGUUCUACGUUAUUUGGGACUACUUCUCUAAGUGGCCCUGUUGCUGGUAUGGUUCAUCAGAAACUAGGCUCCAGAAAAACAGCUAUGAUAUGCGGGGUGUUGAUGCUGAUUGGGAUGACAUCGGCAUACUUCUGUCAAACAGUGUUGGGGUUAUUAAUCACAUACGGACUGGUGACAGGAUUGGCUUUAGGUCUUGCAUCAAAUGUUGCUGGAGUCGUCCCAGGAUAUUACUUUCUGAAAAGAAGACCUAUUGCUUUUGGAGUGUCCAUGGCCGGGGGUGGAGCUGGUCUCUUCACUGGGCCAUUGGCACGGUACCUCCUCGACCAAUACAACCUACAUGGAACACU
This is a long non-coding RNA of Haliotis rubra (blacklip abalone), 362 nucleotides long. RefSeq lists it as uncharacterized. The transcript is spliced from 3 exons. Lineage: Eukaryota; Metazoa; Mollusca; Gastropoda; Lepetellida; Haliotidae. The record is from RefSeq and is a predicted model, not a curated record.